This 1394-nucleotide long non-coding RNA is filed under the name Mustela putorius furo (domestic ferret). RNAcentral describes it as "lncRNA (ENSMPUG00000028152.1)". The record is from RNAcentral. Lineage: Eukaryota; Metazoa; Chordata; Mammalia; Carnivora; Mustelidae.
GAUAAAACACUGAAGAUCAACUCCAUGUGUGUGACCCGACUGUCCUGGAAACUUCAACUGGAAGAGAAUCCAAACCUUAAGUUGUGCUUAUAACUUCAGCCCAAGUAAGAAAAACGAGGUUGGGGGGGGGCGGCACAGGGUGGGGACCAAGUCUUGGGUGGUGGGGGAGGGCUUGGGGAUGGAUGUGGUGGGGACAAGGCGGAAGAGAGCUAUGUCUUUAAUUCUGUCCUAUGGUUAUACAUAUUUUUUCUUCUAUGAAUGGGUUUUGCUGUAAAUUAUAGCUUUGCCCGUGGUCCCUUGGGUCAAAAGAAAUAGUCUCUAAACAGAAAACAGCUCUGAUUGGUGCCUUUCCUUCUUCCCUCCCCAACCCCCUUCCUAAUUGAAACCAAAUGUGCAAUAUAUUGGAUCCCUGGCGCUGCCCCAGGAAUCCUCAGAAUGUGAGGUUUCUCUCAAAGCAUCUUGCAUCAGCCUGUGGAUGUAUGCCUACCGCCGGGCUCCUUCACCGGCAAAGUGGAAAAAGAAGCGUUUCACAACAAAUUCUUUUUUUGGGGGGGAGGGUUGGGGGGAACGUAGUGGAUUAUAACUCUGUUCUUCUUUCCAAAUCUGUGUACUCCUGGAUGCACUUUCUGUAAUUAUCCAACCAAUGGAGAAUCCCAGCUUUUGGCAGGUCAUAUACUUGGAAUCUCUCUGGAAUCUCACCUUGGCCUCCCAGCACUGAGAAAGAUCAGGUCUGACCCAGCCCAAGAGUCCAUGAGUCCUGGAGGAGCAAUGAAAAGCCAAAGAAGUUCUAAAAUUGGCUAGGCUCACUCCAAAGCCCCUAUGUUCAGCUGGGCUUCUCCUCAGCAAGGUCUGCGGUAGGUCACUGAUUUGUGGGUUGCGUUUCAUUCCUAGACAGACACCAACGAAAUGUCGAAGGAGUCCCUUGGAUCUACUGCUCAGAGAUUAAUGCUACCUCAUUGUGGUGUGUGGGUUGACGGGGAGAGCGUGUGAAGAAUAGAACCUCAUGUGCAAAAGGUAGUGAGGGAGAAGAAAAUGUUGUAAGGUUUGGGUCCCAGCACCAUCAUUUUCCAGAUUUUUGACCUCAGACCUCAUCUGUCUCCCUCAUGAGUUUUUAUCCCCUCCUUUUUAGGUUCAGAUAAAAUAAUGUGUAAGAAACUUUAUAUACUGGGAAGCGCCAUGCCUAUGAAGAUGGUAGGUGGCAUGCCCCUUGGGAUGCAUUUCAUGGGUAGCUAAUCCAGCAGAAUUUACCGGAUGCAAGAUUACCUUUAGGGUCUUCAUGGCUUAGGCAGCCAAAAGUAAAUUGAGAUGGGAGAUGGGUUAAAAAGAAGAACGAAGAGUAUGUGAAAGAGAGUUAAUGCCUACAAUUUGAAAGUAAAGGAGUAGUAAGGGGGGGG